RNAcentral lists this long non-coding RNA (754 nucleotides) under Calidris pygmaea (Spoon-billed sandpiper). Its description in RNAcentral is "lncRNA (ENSCPGG00000016339.1)". The record is from RNAcentral. Lineage: Eukaryota; Metazoa; Chordata; Aves; Charadriiformes; Scolopacidae.
CUGAAAACUGGCACUUUGAGAAACCCUCCGUUUGUAAAAGUUGCUGACAUAAUGCACUAUCAUCUUCCUAUAGAUUGUGAUGGUGUGUCAGGAGCUAGAAUCUCCAGAAAGCCACUCAUGAGGAUGAAACAAAACAAAAUACUAUUUGCAAAACGUGUUUGUAAAACAUAUUCACCAUUCAGCUUUCAAAGGCUAUUCCGUAAGCAGAGAAAUGUGUACUUUAUUAGAGUGCCCUUGACUGUAAUCCUAAAGCCAAACGGGUUGCCCGUCAGGUACCUGAACCAAAUGAAACGGAAACAGAGCCUGAAGACCACGGCUUUCAUUACAUCUACAGUAUCAAUCUCUAUCCACCUUGCCAUCCAAGGAGGCCAAGAACAUGUACGUUCUGUGACUUCUCAGUAACUCACAUAUAAAUCACUUAUAUGCUUGCCUAUGCUCUUGGAGCUGCUGGCAUGUAUUUGGCUCAUCAAAACCAGCUGGAUAUAUUUUUACCUAAGAGUAAAUAAUUUGCAUUAAAAUAGUUUAAAUCUAGUUUCGUAUCUUGUGAGUGUAUGCUCAUCAGCUGAACCAUACUGUUUAAAGACCUCUGAUGUCUAUGCAGGAAAAAAUCUUUAUAGCAUUCUUUAUAGAGAGGUUUUUCACCAGGUAAUCAUCUGUUUGGCAUAGUCUAAGUCUAUCAGUAUUGACCAACACUAUGAAGACAUUAAACUAUCAGUAAAACACCUAUUCAUAAUAAAUGUCAUGCAUUAUGUCA